CCAAAACAUAUUCAGUAGUCAAUGAAUAUAGGCUAUUUAUAUGUAAGUUCCAACAGCACUAUGCAAUUAGCAGAAUGUCUGCAUAUAAUGUAAGCAACAACAUCUUCACAAUUAAAUGACCAAACCAUCUCCAUGACAACUGAGCAAACUGCAUCCAUUGAUGGAAGACCAUGAGAUGUGGGUGAAAGCUCUGGAGAAACCAACCAAGAGAUGUGGACGGGAGAGAGGACACAGAAGGGGAAGAGGAGGUGGAGCGCAGAGGCGUUAUCUCACGGCAAUCCAUCUAGAUGUCGGCAGUGUCCCCCUUAAUGUGUUGACUCAGGGUCGGACCUCCGAAGAACACCUGUGGAUUCGUGAUACAAAGAUGCUUUAUGGCCUUCUGCUAUCGCAAGGAAAACUGAAAGAAUAGGUUUCCCCGUCUCACACAGGUUCCAGCCCAGCACUAACACGCCUGUUUGCAUUACAGUCAGCUAAGCAAAUAAGUCUUCCCCUUGAAAAUCAAGUCAAUCAGACCUGUCAGCGCCGCGUGUUGCACAGCUCACGGCUCUUGAAGAUCAUCCUCGGUGUGACAAAAGAUAUGAGACAAUCUCAUGACCACCCACAACCACUGAAUCACACAGCUUGAAUGUAAAGAGGCUGACAGCGUCGAUGACUCCAUCCUGAGCAUGUGGACCCGGACAUGGCCUAAUGUGUUAGAACAGAGGUAAUUGGCUCAGUAAAUGCUGUCUUUGUUUACGUGACAUGUUAAGGCAUGGUUUAUAGGCGAGAUGAUAGAGACUGACAGGGGGAUGGGUAGGACACUCCGACCCUUGCAACACAUUAUGAGUGUGGCCCUCACACAUUUGUCACUUGUGCUUAAUCAGCCUCUUUGAAGCGCAGCAGCACUCUGCAUGAUUACAACACAUAGAAAUAAAUAGGGCCUGUUCUUAAAGACAUUGGACAUACAGUGUGUUGGACAUAUGACUAUUUCAAAGCAGGAUUAUUAGAUGAAUUUGUAUGAGAAAUCACUCUGCCUCCCUGAAGAACUGAUGUUUGGUUUAAAAAUAUGGUGACCAGUCUGGCUUUUGGUCAUCCAAGGCCUCAGCUGGGGGAGGUUCACUAGGUGGCAAUGUUCCCUUUUCCUGAGAGCCCCGUGAAGGCAACACAGCCUCAGAGUCAAACGACCCCAUCCACUGGCUGCUCACUUUUAAAUAAUGCCCUCCAUCAAGUCCAGUCGUUGCAUGAUUUAUAGCUUCGAAAUGGGACUAGAGAACAAAGCCUGAAAUGACAACCUGCAUCAGGUGUCCAAACAUCCUGGUCAACCUCACCUCUUCACCCUUUCCC
Sebastes umbrosus (honeycomb rockfish) is the source of this 1323-nucleotide long non-coding RNA. RefSeq lists it as uncharacterized. NCBI's taxonomy places the organism in Eukaryota, Metazoa, Chordata, Actinopteri, Perciformes, Sebastidae. The transcript is spliced from 3 exons. The record is from RefSeq and is a predicted model, not a curated record.